CCUACGGGUGGCUGCAGUGGGGAAUAUUGCGCAAUGGGCGAAAGCCUGACGCAGCAACGCCGCGUGUGUGAUGAAGGCCUUCGGGUUGUAAAGCACUGUUCAGAGGGAAGAAGUGACGGGGGUAAACACUCCGUUUUGACGGUACCUCUGAAGAAAGCACUGGCUAACUCCGUGCCAGCAGCCGCGGUAAUACGGAGAGUGCAAGCGUUGUGCGGAAUUAUUGGGUGUGAGGGGCGUCAAGUUGGGAUGGAAAUCCCGCGGCUCAACCGAGGACGUGCACUUGAAACUGCUAAGCUUGAGUAUCGGAGGGGGCAGCGGAAUUCCUGGUGUAGAGGUGAAAUUCGUAGAUAUCAGGAGGAACACCAGUGGCGAAGGCGGCUGCCUGGCCGAAUACUGACACUGAAGCGCGAAAGCGUGGGGAGCAAACAGGAUUAGAUACCCUGGUAGUC
Molecule: ribosomal RNA, 449 nt
Filed under: uncultured bacterium
Lineage: Bacteria
Description: partial 16S ribosomal RNA
Rfam family: Bacterial small subunit ribosomal RNA
Source: RNAcentral